UCCGGUUUGUCACCGGCAGUCUCCCUAGAGUGCCCUUGCGUAGCAACUAGGGACAAGGGUUGCGCUCGUUGCGGGACUUAACCCAACAUCUCACGACACGAGCUGACGACAGCCAUGCAGCACCUGUGUUCGCGUUCCCUUUCGGGCACCCCCGCCUCUCAGCGGGCUGCGCGACAUGUCAAGGGUAGGUAAGGUUGUUCGCGUUGCAUCGAAUUAAUCCACAUCAUCCACCGCUUGUGCGGGUCCCCGUCAAUUCCUUUGAGUUUUAACCUUGCGGCCGUACUCCCCAGGCGGGCCACUUCACGCGUUAGCUGCGGCACUAGGAAAUCGCUUCCCCAACACCCAGUGGCCAUCGUUUAGGGCGUGGACUAC
RNAcentral lists this unclassified non-coding RNA (372 nucleotides) under uncultured Gammaproteobacteria bacterium. RNAcentral describes it as "contains 16S-23S intergenic spacer region". Lineage: Bacteria; Pseudomonadati; Pseudomonadota; Gammaproteobacteria. The record is from RNAcentral.